Molecule: ribosomal RNA, 253 nt
Filed under: uncultured bacterium
Lineage: Bacteria
Description: partial 16S ribosomal RNA
Rfam family: Bacterial small subunit ribosomal RNA
Source: RNAcentral
UACGUAGGCAGCGAGCGUUGUUCGGAAUUACUGGGCGUAAAGAGUGUGUAGGCGGUGUUCCCAGUCUGUUGUGAAAUCUCCCGGCUUAACUGGGAGGGUGCGCCGAAAACUGGAGUGCUUGAGUAUGGGAGAGGCAAGCGGAAUUCCUGGUGUAGCGGUGAAAUGCGUAGAUAUCAGGAGGAACACCUGUGGUGUAGACAGCUUGCUGGACCAUCACUGACGCUGAGGCACGAAAGCGUGGGUAGCAAACAGG